GACGGAGGGUGCAAGCGUUGUUCGGAUUGACUGGGCGUAAAGGGCGUGUAGGCGGUUGGUCAAGUCUGAUGUGAAAGCCCGGGGCUCAGCCCCGGAAGGGCAUCGGAAACUAGCCAGCUGGAGCGCGAUAGAGGAGGGUGGAAUUCCUGGUGUAGCGGUGAAAUGCGUAGAUAUCGUAAGGAAGACCAGUGGCGAAGGCGGGUCUCUGGACAGUUCCUGACGCUGAGGCACGAAGGCCAGGGGAGCAAACGGG
This 253-nucleotide ribosomal RNA is filed under the name uncultured bacterium. Its description in RNAcentral is "partial 16S ribosomal RNA". It matches the Rfam family "Bacterial small subunit ribosomal RNA", at positions 524 to 776 of the family's 1533-position model. The record is from RNAcentral.